This 21-nucleotide small nuclear RNA is filed under the name Arabidopsis thaliana (thale cress). RNAcentral describes it as "snRNA_11393". Lineage: Eukaryota; Viridiplantae; Streptophyta; Magnoliopsida; Brassicales; Brassicaceae. The record is from RNAcentral.
UAUGCCUGAGCGGGGUAAAGC